This 142-nucleotide ribosomal RNA is filed under the name Sarcocystis arieticanis. RNAcentral describes it as "partial 18S ribosomal RNA". It matches the Rfam family "Eukaryotic small subunit ribosomal RNA", at positions 1687 to 1822 of the family's 1831-position model. Lineage: Eukaryota; Apicomplexa; Conoidasida; Eucoccidiorida; Sarcocystidae. The record is from RNAcentral.
GAUUGAGUGUUCCGGUGAGUUAUUCGGACCGUCCCGUUUUUACGCGCCGCGUCUGGCAUGUGCGGAAUGGAAAGUUUUGUGAACCUUAAUACUUAGAGGAAGGAGAAGUCGUAACAAGGUUUCCCUAGGUGAACCCGCGGAA